RNAcentral lists this ribosomal RNA (497 nucleotides) under uncultured bacterium. RNAcentral's name for it is "partial 16S ribosomal RNA". It matches the Rfam family "Bacterial small subunit ribosomal RNA", at positions 28 to 507 of the family's 1533-position model. The record is from RNAcentral.
GAUGAACGCUGGCGGCGUGCCUAAUACAUGCAAGUCGAGCGAACGGACGAGAAGCUUGCUUCUCUGAUGUUAGCGGCGGACGGGUGAGUAACACGUGGAUAACCUACCUAUAAGACCGGGAUAACUUCGGGAAACCGGAGCUAAUACCGGAUAAUAUUUUGAACCGCAUGGUUCAAAAGUGAAAGACGGUCUUGCUGUCACUUAUAGAUGGAUCCGCGCUGCAUUAGCUAGUUGGUAAGGUAACGGCUUACCAAGGCAACGAUGCAUAGCCGACCUGAGAGGGUGAUCGGCCACACUGGAACUGAGACACGGUCCAGACUCCUACGGGAGGCAGCAGUAGGGAAUCUUCCGCAAUGGGCGAAAGCCUGACGGAGCAACGCCGCGUGAGUGAUGAAGGUCUUCGGAUCGUAAAACUCCGUUAUUAGGGAAGAACAUAUGUGUAAGUAACUGUGCACAUCUUGACGGUACCUAAUCAGAAAGCCACGGCUAACUACGUG